CCUACGGGAGGCAGCAGUAGGGAAUAUUCCACAAUGGGGGAAACCCUGAUGCAGCGACGCCGCGUGAGUGAAGAAGUUUUUCGGUAUGUAAAACCCUAUCAGCAGGGAAGAAAUAGCGACCUUGUGGUCGCCCGCCGGUACCUGACUAAGAAGCCCCGGGUAACUACGUGCCAGCAGCCGCGGUAAUACGUAGGGGGCAAGCGUUAUCCGGAUUUACUGGGUGUAAAGGGAGCGUAGACGGCAGCAUAAGUCUGAAGUGAAAUGCCGGGGCUUAACCCCGGAACUGCUUUGGAAACUGGGCAGCUAGAGUGCAGGAGAGGUAAGUGGAAUUCCUAGGGUAGCGGUGAAAUGCGUAGAUAUUAGGAGGAACACCAGUGGCGAAGGCGGCUUACUGGACUGUAACUGACGUUGAGGCUCGAAAGCGUGGGGAGCAAACAGGAUUAGAUACCCCUGUAGUC
Molecule: ribosomal RNA, 458 nt
Filed under: uncultured bacterium
Lineage: Bacteria
Description: partial 16S ribosomal RNA
Rfam family: Bacterial small subunit ribosomal RNA
Source: RNAcentral